CGACUAAGGUUCGGCUCGAGCGUCAGCGAGAGAGCGUUGCCGCAGGCAACGACCCGAAGGGCGAAGCGCGCAGCGCUGAGUAAUCCUUCCCCCACCACCA
Molecule: small RNA, 100 nt
Filed under: Escherichia coli
Lineage: Bacteria; Pseudomonadati; Pseudomonadota; Gammaproteobacteria; Enterobacterales; Enterobacteriaceae
Also listed under: 1 other name
Description: partial RtT sRNA
Rfam family: RtT RNA
About the family: This family represents a bacterial cis-regulatory element known as RtT RNA.
Source: RNAcentral